GAACCGGUUAAAAUCUCUGUUGCAUUGGACCCAUAUGAAUGGAAUGCUAGGCCAGAAAUGAAAGUUGAGCUUAAAAAAAGGAUGAAAAUAUAUACAACAAAAUAGAACCUCUCGCAAUAGCGUUCAUCACUGACCCAACUUCGAGUACACAGCUAUUUUCUAAUUGAAACCUGAGAGAAAGGCGAAUUAUUCUAAUCUUAAAUGUGCAAAAAGAUGUGAGCUGUUGAAUGUAGUAAAUAGUCCAAUUUGUCGGCUGAG
RNAcentral lists this unclassified non-coding RNA (258 nucleotides) under Hevea brasiliensis (rubber tree). Lineage: Eukaryota; Viridiplantae; Streptophyta; Magnoliopsida; Malpighiales; Euphorbiaceae. The record is from RNAcentral.